Molecule: ribosomal RNA, 461 nt
Filed under: Pterolebias longipinnis
Lineage: Eukaryota; Metazoa; Chordata; Actinopteri; Cyprinodontiformes; Rivulidae
Description: partial 16S ribosomal RNA
Rfam family: Bacterial large subunit ribosomal RNA
Source: RNAcentral
AACGGCCGCAAAAUUAACCGCGCAAAGGUAGCGCAAUAAAUUGUCUUUUAAAUGAAGACCGUACGAAUGGCAAAACGAGGGCUUAGCUGUCUCACUCUCUCCGUUAAUAAAAUUGAUCUCCUUGUACAAAAGCAAGAAUAGUUUUAUAAGACAAAAAGACCCUAUGGAGCUUUAGAAUCUGAAAUAGAGCCAUUAAACUUAACAAAUAAAUUAUAAUCCCUAUUUCUUUUAUUUCUUUGGUUGGGGCGACCAUGGAGAAAAAUAUAUCCUCCUCAAAAAUCAAUAAAAUUUAUAAAACAAGAAUAACAUUUCUCAUUCAUAAAACAUAUGCUUAAAGAUGAUCCGAAAACAUGUUCGAUCAACGAAAACAAGCUACCCUAGGGGUAACAGCGCAAUCCCCUUUUAGAGCCCUUAUCAACAGGGGGGUUUACGACCUCCAUGUUGGAUCAGGACAUCCCAAU